UUAUGAGGUAACAAACAAAAAAAUACAAUCGAGAAUGUCCUCCUUUUUUAAAGUCGAUUGAAAAAUUCGUUUACAAUUUCGGCGCCUUCUAUGUGAUAAUAA
Galleria mellonella (greater wax moth) is the source of this 102-nucleotide small nucleolar RNA. RefSeq annotates it as small nucleolar RNA sn2524. The transcript has a single exon. The record is from RefSeq and is a predicted model, not a curated record. NCBI's taxonomy places the organism in Eukaryota, Metazoa, Arthropoda, Insecta, Lepidoptera, Pyralidae.